This 1112-nucleotide ribosomal RNA is filed under the name Ptychobarbus conirostris. RNAcentral describes it as "partial 16S ribosomal RNA". It matches the Rfam family "Bacterial large subunit ribosomal RNA", at positions 157 to 2062 of the family's 2925-position model. Lineage: Eukaryota; Metazoa; Chordata; Actinopteri; Cypriniformes; Cyprinidae. The record is from RNAcentral.
GCCAAACAGCUAGCCCAAUCACCCAAUAACUAAACAAUGUAAAUAAAACAAAAUAAGCCUAACACCAAAAAUUAAAUCAUUCUUUUACCUUAGUAUGGGCGACAGAAAAGGUUACACCUGGAGCAAUAGAAAAAGUACCGCAAGGGAAAGCUGAAAGAGAAGUGAAACAACUUAUAUAAGCACUAAAAAGCAAAGAUUAAAUCUUGUACCUUUCGCAUCAUGAUUUAGCCAGUAUACCCAAGCAAAGAGACCUUUAGUUUGAAACCCCGAAACCAAGUGAGCUACCCCGAGACAGCCUAUUAAGGGCCAACCCGUCUCUGUGGCAAAAGAGUGGGAAGAGCUCCGGGUAGAGGUGACAAACCUACCGAACUUGGUGAUAGCUGGUUGCCUAAGAAAUGAAUAGAAGUUCAGCCUCGUUCUCCCCGAAUCAAAAAGUAAAAAGAUACUAGAGGGAAACAUACGAGAGUUAGUUGAAGGGGGUACAGCCCCUUUAACGAAGGACACAACCUUUCCAGGAGGAUAAAGAUCAUAAUACAUAAGACAUCCUGUUCUAGUGGGCCUAAAGGCAGCCAUCUAAACAGAAAGCGUUAAAGCUCAGACAGAAAUAAGUUUAUUAUUCCGACAAGAAAUCUUACUCCCCUAAUAUUAUUAGGCCAGCCCAUGCCCACAUGGGAGAGACUAUGCUAAAAUGAGUAACAAGAAGGCAAGCCCUUCUCCAAGCACAAGUGUAAGCCAAACCGGACUAACCAUUGGCAAUUAACGAACUCAACCCAAGAGAGCAAUGUGGACUAUAAUAAAACCAGGAAGAACCCACAACCGACCUAUCGUUACCCCCACACUGGUGUGCUAUUAACGGAAAGACUAAAAGAAGGGAAAGGAACUCGGCAAACACAAGCCUCGCCUGUUUACCAAAAACAUCGCCUCCUGCAACACAACCAAGUAUAGGAGGUCCAGCCUGCCCAGUGACUACAAGUUCAACGGCCGCGGUAUUUUGACCGUGCAAAGGUAGCGCAAUCACUUGUCUCUUAAAUAGAGACCUGUAUGAAUGGCUAAACGAGGGCUUAACUGUCUCCCCCCUCCAGUCAGUGAAAUUGAUCUACCCGUGCAGAAGC